Molecule: ribosomal RNA, 497 nt
Filed under: uncultured bacterium
Lineage: Bacteria
Description: partial 16S ribosomal RNA
Rfam family: Bacterial small subunit ribosomal RNA
Source: RNAcentral
GAUGAACGCUGGCGGCGUGCCUAAUACAUGCAAGUCGAGCGAACAGACGAGGAGCUUGCUCCUCUGACGUUAGCGGCGGACGGGUGAGUAACACGUGGAUAACCUACCUAUAAGACUGGGAUAACUUCGGGAAACCGGAGCUAAUACCGGAUAAUAUAUUGAACCGCAUGGUUCAAUAGUGAAAGACGGUUUUGCUGUCACUUAUAGAUGGAUCCGCGCCGCAUUAGCUAGUUGGUAAGGUAACGGCUUACCAAGGCAACGAUGCGUAGCCGACCUGAGAGGGUGAUCGGCCACACUGGAACUGAGACACGGUCCAGACUCCUACGGGAGGCAGCAGUAGGGAAUCUUCCGCAAAGGGCGAAAGCUUGACGGAGCAACGCCGCGUGAGUGAUGAAGGUCUGCGGAUCGUAAAACUCUGUUAUUAGGGAAGAACAAAUGUGUAAGUAACUAUGCACGUCUUGACGGUACCUAAUCAGAAAGCCACGGCUAACUACGUG